RNAcentral lists this unclassified non-coding RNA (332 nucleotides) under soil metagenome. RNAcentral's name for it is "partial contains 5.8S ribosomal RNA, internal transcribed spacer 2, and large subunit ribosomal RNA". The stretch from base 1 to 120 matches the Rfam family "5.8S ribosomal RNA", at positions 35 to 154 of the family's 154-position model. The record is from RNAcentral.
GAUGAAGAACGUAGCAAAAUGCGAUAAGUAAUGUGAAUUGCAGAAUUCAGUGAAUCAUCGAAUCUUUGAACGCACAUUGCGCCCGCCAGUAUUCUGGCGGGCAUGCCUGUUCGAGCGUCAUUUCAACUCUCAAGCACAGCUUGGUGUUGGGACUCGCGUUAAUUCGCGUUCCCCAAAUUGAUUGGCGGUCACGUCGAGCUUCCAUAGCGUAGUAGUAAAACCCUCGUUACUGGUAAUCGUCGCGGCCACGCCGUUAAACCCCAACUUCUGAAUGUUGACCUCGGAUCAGGUAGGAAUACCCGCUGAACUUAAGCAUAUCAAUAAGCGGAGGA